GUGCUGGGAUUAAAGGCAUGCGCCACCACCGCCUGGCAUUGUUUGUCCUUUGUCAUAACAGAAAACAAAGUUGCUUGGAGUAUCUGAGGCCAGUAUUUGAAACUGAAAACCUUUUGAAACACAGAACUUGUCUGCAUUUUAUGGUCACUGAUGGAGAUCUACCCCAACUAGACCUUCCUGGAGGGCCCAGGUAGGAGGGAGGAGGAAAUUUGCAUAUUGUUUUUUCCUUUUAUGUGUUAGAAAAACUCACUCAUGCCUGUUUUCAGUACAAAGUGUACUUUUAAAUCUUUUAUUCCUACUGCUUAUGAAGGUAAAAGACAUUAAGGUAAUGUUAUUUCUCUAUCAGUGAGUUAAUGUUGUAAAGCAACUAGAAGAAAAGGCAUGUCUUAAGUAUGUCCUAGCAUAAGCUAUCUUAUACAUUGACCCCAAUACACUCCAUUUAAUGCAUAAGCAAAUAUAAGUACAUGUGUAUAUAUAUUUAUCCUGUAUGCAGAUAGGAGUAGCGCCUUCUGAAGCCACUAUUUCACAUAGAUCUAAUGGUAAAGUGUAAUAUUGGGUCGAGCCAGCAGCAGUACAGGCUGCAUUUCCUGGGACACUCAUGCUGUUGAGGCUCUUAAUUCAUAAUGGCAAGACUACUUUUAGUCAUAGAAAUUGAAAGCCAUUGAGUGACAGGUGUCUAGAAAAUUUAGACCCACCAGAUGGGAACACACUUUAAAUAAUUGUGACCAUAUCUGUUUUGCUUGCUAGUUGCCUAGCAACCCACAGGGGCAGGGCACGAUGGAGUUGCAGUCAUGAAGAAGGUAUGGUCAAUUGCUCUGAUUAUCAAAUAGCUGAAAAGUAGUUUGGCCCUGGUUGGUUUAAGAAACGCUGGGAUUAAAGGCGUGUGCCACCACUCCCUGGCUCAUAAGCUCAUUUUUACUUCAUUGAACGCUUUCAACCUGUCUUCGAAAAUAUACAAUAGAGCAUGAAAGGGGGUUCAGUCCAAAUCCUGCACAAUCCUUGAGACACGAUACAAAUCGUAUUUAUUUUGAAGCCUUUUGAAAUCCACUGGCUCAGAAUGACUGAGCAUAUCCUGCACUCUCUCCUCCUAACACGACUCUAUGUGGACCACGUGCAUGUGAGGAAAGUGAGGAAGGCUGCAGCUGCGCUGGUGGUAUUGUCUGGCAGGCCAGCCUCCUGGUCAUCACCACCUGAGGACCCUCAGAAGCUGACUCUGUCACAAGAGUCUUCCUUGACCUCGGCUCUGGGACAUUGACCUCAUUCUGUGCUAAGAAGGCCUGUUCCUAAGGGCUCAUGUAUCACAGACUUGGAGCUAAAGGAGCCAGACACCCUCAGAAUCCAGUGGAUGCCGACACAAAGAUGUUCACUAUAAGCCUGCUCUCUCUAGCAAAGGAAAACAACAGCACACACUGUGCUGUUCCAGGCAAACUCCACAGAAAAAACGGUGGUCCCCGUGACAGUUUGUAUAUGCUUGGCCCAGGAAGUGGCACUAUUUGGAAGUAUGGCCUUCAUGUAGUAGGUGUGUCAC
Mus musculus (house mouse) is the source of this 1528-nucleotide RNA transcript. It is a transcript of the gene named predicted gene 4107, with no coding region annotated. The record is from RefSeq and is a predicted model, not a curated record. NCBI's taxonomy places the organism in Eukaryota, Metazoa, Chordata, Mammalia, Rodentia, Muridae. The transcript is spliced from 4 exons.